This is a non-coding RNA of Xyrichtys novacula (pearly razorfish), 7395 nucleotides long. NCBI's taxonomy places the organism in Eukaryota, Metazoa, Chordata, Actinopteri, Labriformes, Labridae. The record is from the annotation of a GenBank genome assembly.
GUGCAGACCUCGUCUCUGAUCGACAGAACCUCGCUCAAAUAUAUCGCUCCCACGCCCACAAAUCUCACUCCACAGCCAUAAAAAAUACAUCAAAAUGGAGGUAUAUGUGUCCUGCUUCUCACAAAAGAGGUUUCAAAUCAUUAAAUCCUACCCCUUGGCCAGCAGGUGACCAACUGUCCAAAUAGGCGGAAAUCUCUCCCCAUUAGACCUAAUGUAUUUCUUCUCCAAGAAAAUCCUUAUCCCCACUCAGGCUCAGACUUUUUUAACUCGCUGUUGUGGCCACAUUUUUCGAAGUACAGACAUGAAAAACACAUCAUUGUGUUCAUGAAGGACGGAGGAUUCGUACGAUGUUCUUAUUUUCAUUCUGGGACUUAAGGAAAUCACGCUAUGUGAAGAAGUUCACAGGCUGAAAUUCACUGCAGUUCAGCACCUCUCAGUCAAACAGUAGGUUAGUGAUUUGCCUUUGAUCUCACAGCUGUUUAGGAUGCAGUCAUUAACGAGACACACACACACACACGCACACACAUUCUUGUACUUGUUGCUUUUUGAGGUCCACCUUGCAGUUCAGCUGCUUGUACACACAGUUAAUAUGUGUCUGCUUCACCACCUAUCUCCACCCACAAACUUUGAGCUACAGAAACCAUUCUGGGCUUCAAAAAUUCAGCUCAUUGAAGAUAUUAUGGGGUGUUUUGAGGAUUGUGAUAAUAAAUUGUAUUAAUGUGUUCAGCAGAGUCUUGUGUUCUCACAAGCUCCUUAUGAAUAUAUACAGAGGGUGAGCGUCAGGGCCUACUUGGAGUCCUGUUUCUUUAGCUUCAAGCCUUCUUUCUCCUGCUAUAGUUAUGCAUCCAAGGUCCCCAUGGCAACCAAUUUGUGCACCUGGAGACACACAGCUGACUGGAAAGCUGCUUCUAGUGGCCAUAUGAGACACAUGAAGCCAGGCUCAGUACACAUAGCAAUUGGGAUGACACUUAAAACCCUUUCCUAGAGCGUUGGAAAAAACUUCAGCCCCUAUCUCCUCACAUGACCUUUGACCUACAGAAACCAUUCAGGGCUUUGAAAUUUAAGCUCAUUGAGGACAUUAUUGGGUGUAUUUAGGAUUGUUAUUCAUUUAAAUUUUUCACAUUUUAAAAGUCAGUCAGUGAUGAUUUAUCAUUUAAUUUUUCAAACUAAUUUAAACUCAUUCAAACUGAUUCAAACCUUUCUAAUACUUCAAAACUUUCUGAUACUUGAGGACUUUUGAUAAUUUAAAAUUUCCCUGUUUUAAAUUAGUUUUAAUAUUUAUGCAUUACUCCAUCAUUCAAACAAAAUCCUACCUCAAGUACGACAACUACUGCUAAUGUCAAUUAAACUAGAACUUUCCCCUCUACUUCAACUGCUAUUGCUCCUAUUUCUACUUUCUUUACUACUUUGACUUAUACUUCUUUUAUUCUCAAUCUACUUCUACUGCUGACAUGACUACUAGUAUCACGACUUGACUUCUUAUCAUACUACUUCUAGUACUACAAUUUAAACUUAUGCCACUUCUCACCUUCCUGCCUUUUAAGGCAAUUUCCUUCUUCAUUCAAACUUUGUGCAAUUUUAGACAUUUUUCUAGCCUCUUUCAGCAUGAAUAAAAUUUCCUUUUAUAGAGCAUAUUCAUACUAUUUGUCCUUCAACCAAUUAAUCAAUUAUCCAACUUAUAUUUCUUUUCACCCCUUCAACAGCUUUAACAUUUAUACCUUUCUCCAUGUUUUAUUAGCAGUUUAGCAUUGCUUUUUCAGCUUUCAGCACUCAGCAUUUCCACGCAUUUUCUGCAAGGAAAUGCAAUUUUUCUAGUAUUAUACUUAACACUCUCCCCAUACGUUUCUUUGGACCGCUUCUCCUCCUUCAAACUUUGUCCGAUUUCAACCGUUCAAACUUUAAACUAUUCCACUCCUUCAGGACAUGAUGGCUAUUACUUUUCUUUUUUCUACCCUUUAUACUUUUUAUUAUUUUUCACUUUUUGUGCCAAACUUUUUUCCCAUAGAAAUGAAUGGGGAAAUCUUUCAAUUCUUCCUGUUAUUCGUCCACCUUCUAAGCCUUAUAACUUCAGCAUACUUUCACCUAGAGACCUCAUUUUUGCUUUAAAAUGUUCAUUGUCUUGUCGACUAUUGAUAUUGUAUUAACCUUUUUGUGCUAUCUUUUACAGUUUUUCCACAAUUUAGCUUUAAGCAACUUGUGGUUUUCAGCAAAUUUCAGGCUUUAUAAUGGGUGUGUAUUGGAGAGUUUAGAGUGAUGAUUUGAAAAGCUAGAGUGCAGACCUCGUCUCUGAUCGACAGAACCUCGCUCGAAUAUAUCGCUCCCACGCCCACAAAUCUCACUCCACACCCAUAAAAAAUACAUCAAAAUGGAGGUAUAUGUGUCCUGCUUCUCACAAAAGAGGUUUCAAAUCAUUAAAUCGUACCCCUUGGCCAGCAGGUGACCAACUGUCCAAAAAAGGCGGAAAUCUCUCCCAUUGACCAUAAUGUUAUUUUUCUCCAAGAAAAUCCGGAUCAUCGCUCAGGCUCAGACUUUUUUAACUCGCUGUUGUGGCCUCAUUUUUCGAAGUACAGACAUGAAAAACACAUCAUUGUGUUCAUGAAGGACGGAGGAUUCGUACGAUGUUCUUAUUUUCAUUCUGGGACUUAAGGAAAUCACGCUAUGUGAAGAAGUUCACAGGCUGAAAUUCACUGCAGUUCAGCACCUCUCAGUCAAACAGUAGGUUAGUGAUUUGCCUUUGAUCUCACAGCUGUUUAGGAUGCAGUCAUUAACGAGACACACACACACACGCACACGCACAUUCUUGUACUUGUUGCUUUUUGAGGUCCACCUUGCAGUUCAGCUGCUUGUACACACAGUUAAUAUGUGUCUGCUUCACCACCUAUCUCCACCCACAAACUUUGAGCUACAGAAACCAUUCUGGGCUUCAAAAAUUCAGCUCAUUGAAGAUAUUAUGGGGUGUUUUGAGGAUUGUGAUAAUAAAUUGUAUUAAUGUGUUCAGCAGAGUCUUGUGUUCUCACAAGCUCCUUAUGAAUAUAUACAGAGGAUGAGCGUCAGGGCCUACUUGGAGUCCUGUUUCCUUAGCUUCAAGCCUUCUUUCUCCUGCUAUAGUUAUGCAUCCAAGGUCCCCAUGGCAACCAAUUUGUGCACCUGGAGACACACAGCUGACUGGAAAGCUGCUUCUAAUGGCCAUAUGAGACACAUGAAGCCAGGCUCAGUACACAUAGCACUGGGGAUGACACUUAAAACCCUUUCCUAGAGCGUUGGAAAAAACUUCAGCCCCUAUCUCCUCACAUGACCUUUGACCUACAGAAACCAUUCAGGGCUUUAAAAUUUAAGCUCAUUGAGGACAUUAUGGGGUGUAUUUAGGAUUUAUAUUCAUUUAGAUUUUUCACAUUUUAAAGUCACUCAGUGAUGAUUUAUCAUUUAAUUUUUCAAACUAAUUUGAACUGAUUCAAACUGAUUCAAACCUUUCUAAUACUUAAAAACUUAAACUUAUGCCACUUCUCACCUUCCUGCCUUUUAAGGCAAUUUCCUUCUUCAUUCAAACUUUGUGCAAUUUUAGACAUUUUUCUAGCCUCUUUCAGCAUGAAUAAAAUUUCUUUUUAUAGAGCAUAUUCAUACUAUUUGUCCUUCAACCAAUUAAUCAAUUAUCCAACUUACAUUUCUUUUCACCCCUUCAACAGCUUUAACAUUUAUACCUUUCUCCAUGUUUUAUUAGCAGUUUAGCAUUGCUUUUUCAGCUUUCAGCACUCAGCAUUUCCACGCAUUUUCUGCAAGGAAAUGCAAUUUUUCUAGUAUUAUACUUAACACUCUCCCCAUACGUUUCUUUGGACCGCUUCUCCUCCUUCAAACUUUGUCCGAUUUCAACCGUUCAAACUUUAAACUAUUCCACUCCUUCAGGACAUGAUGGCUAUUACUUUUCUCUUUUCUACCCUUUAUACUUUUUAUUAUUUUUCACUUUUUGUGCCAAACUUUUUUCCCAUAGAAAUGAAUGGGGAAAUCUUUCAAUUCUUCCUGUUAUUCGUCCACCUUCUAGACCUUAUAACUUCAGCAUACUUUCACCUAGAGACCUCAUUUUUGCUUUAAAAUGUUCAUUGUCUUGUCGACUAUUGAUGUUGUAUUAACCUUUUGUGCUAUCUUUUACAGUUUUUCCACAAUUUAGCUUUAUGCAACUUGUGGUUUUCAGCAAAUUUCAGGCUUUAUAAUGGGUGUGUAUUGGAUAGGCUAGAGUGAGGAUUUGAAAAGCUAGAGUGCAGACCUCCUCUCUGAUCGACAGAACCUCGCUCGAAUAUAUCGCUCCCACGCCCACAAAUCUCACUCCACAGCCAUAAAAAAUACAUCAAAAUGGAGGUAUAUGUGUCCUGCUUCUCACAAAAGAGGUUUCAAAUCAUUAAAUCGUACCCCUUGGCCAGCAGGUGACCAACUGUCCAAAUAGGCGGAAAUCUCUCCCCAUUAGACCUAAUGUAUUUCUUCUCCAAGAAAAUCCUUAUCCCCACUCAGGCUCAGACUUUUUUAACUCGCUGUUGUGGCCUCAUUUUUCGAAGUACAGACAUGAAAAACACAUCAUUGUGUUCAUGAAGGACGGAGGAUUCGUACGAUGUUCUUAUUUUCAUUCUGGGACUUAAGGAAAUCACGCUAUGUGAAGAAGUUCAGAGGCUAAAUCCUCUGCAGUUCAGCACCUCUCAGUCAAACAGUAGGUUAGUGAUUUGCCUUUGAUCUCACAGCUGUUUAGGAUGCAGUCAUUAACGAGACACACACACACACACACACACACACACACACACACACACAUUCUUGUACUUGUUGCAUUGUCAGGUCUACCUUGCAGUUCACCUGCUUGUACACACAGUUAAUAUGUGUCUGCUUCACCACCUAUCUCCACCCACAAACUUUGAGCUACAGAAACCAUUCUGGGCUUGAAAAAUUCAGCUCAUUGAAGAUAUUAUGGGGUGUUUUGAGGAUUGUGAUAAUAAAUUGUAUGAAUGUGUUCAGCAAAAUCUUGUGUUCUCACAAGCUCCUUAUCAUGAAUAUAUACAGAGGAUGAGCGUCAGGGCCUACUUGGAGUCCUGUUUCCUUAGCUUCAAGCCUUCUUUCUCCUGCUAUAGUUAUGCAUCCAAGGUCCCCAUGGCAACCAAUUUGUGCACCUGGAGACACACAGCUGACUGGAAAGCUGCUUCUAAUGGCCAUAUGAGACACAUGAAGCCAGGCUCAGUACACAUAGCACUGGGGAUGACACUUAAAACCCUUUCCUAGAGCGCUUGAAAAAACUUCAGCCCCUAUCUCCUCACAUGACCUUUGACCUACAGAAACCAUUCAGGGCUUUAAAAUUUAAGCUCAUUGAGGACAUUAUGGGGUGUAUUUAGGAUUUAUAUUCAUUUAAAUUUUUCACAUUUUAAAGUCACUCAGUGAUGAUUUAUCAUUUAAUUUUUCAAACUAAUUUAAACUCAUUCAAACUGAUUCAAACCUUUCUAAUACAUAAAAACUUUCUGAUACUUGAGGAUUUUUAAUUAAUAAAAUUUUCCCUGUUUUAUAUUAGUUUUAAUAUUUAUGCAUUACUCCAUCAUUCAAACAAAAUCCUACCUCAAGUACGACAACUACUGCUAAUGUCAAUUAAACUAGAACUUUCCCCUCUACUUCAACUGCUAUUGCUCCUAUUUCUACUUUCUUUACUACUUUGACUUAUACUUCUUUUAUUCUCAAUCUACUUCUACUGCUGACAUGACUACUAGUGUCACGACUUGACUUCUUAUCAUACUACUUCUAGUACUACAAUUUAAAUUUAUGCCACUUCUCACCUUCCUGCCUUUUAAGGCAAUUUCCUUCUUCAUUCAAACUUUGUGCAAUUUUCGACAUUUUUCUAGCCUCUUUCAGCAUGAAUAAAAUUUCCUUUUAUAGACCAUAUUCAUACUAUUUGUCCUUCAACCAAUUAAUCAAUUAUCCAACUUAUAUUUCUGUUCACCCCUUCAACAGCUUUAACAUUUAUACCUUUCUCCAUGUUUUAUUAGCAGUUUAGCAUUGCUUUUUCAGCUUUCAGCACUCAGCAUUUCCACGCAUUUUCUGCAAGGAAAUGCAAUUUUUCUAGUAUUAUACUUAACACUCUCCCCAUACGUUUCUUUGGACCGCUUCUCCUCCUUCAAACUUUGUCCGAUUUCAACCGUUCAAACUUUAAACGAUUCCACUCCUUCAGGACAUGAUGGCUAUUACUUUUCUUUUUUCUACCCUUUAUACUUUUUAUUAUUUUUCACUUUUUGUGCCAAACUUUUUUUCCCAUAGAAAUGAAUGGGGAAAUCUUUCAAUUCUUCCUGUUAUUCGUCCACCUUCUAAGCCUUAUAACUUCAGCAUACUUUCACCUAGAGACCUCAUUUUUGCUUUAAAAUGUUCAUUGUCUUGUCGACUAUUGAUAUUGUAUUAACCUUUUUGUGCUAUCUUUUACAGUUUUUCCACAAUUUAGCUUUAAGCAACUUGUGGUUUUCAGCAAAUUUCAGGCUUUAUAAUGGGUGUAUUGGAGAGUUUAGAGUGAUGAUUUGAAAAGCUAGAGUGCAGACCUCGUCUCUGAUCGACAGAACCUCGCUCGAAUAUAUCGCUCCCACGCUCUCAAAUCUCACUCCACACCCAUAAAAAAUACAUCAAAAUGGAGGUAUAUGUGUCCUGCUUCUCACAAAAGAGGUUUCAAAUCAAUAAACCGUACCCCUUGGCCAGCAGGUGACCAACUGUCCAAAAAAGGCGGAAAUCUCUCCCAUUGACCAUAAUGUUAUUUUUCUCCAAGAAAAUCCGGAUCAUCGCUCAGGCUCAGACUUUUUUAACUCGCUGUUGUGGCCUCAUUUUUCGAAGUACAGACAUGAAAAACACAUCAUUGUGUUCAUGAAGGACGGAGGAUUCGUACGAUGUUCUUAUUUUCAUUCUGGGACUUAAGGAAAUCACGCUAUGUGAAGAAGUUCACAGGCUGAAAUUCACUGCAGUUCAGCACCUCUCAGUCAAACAGUAGGUUAGUGAUUUGCCUUUGAUCUCACAGCUGUUUAGGAUGCAGUCAUUAACGAGACACACACACACACACGCACACACAUUCUUGUACUUGUUGCUUUUUGAGGUCCACCUUGCAGUUCAGCUGCUUGUACACACAGUUAAUAUGUGUCUGCUUCACCACCUAUCUCCACCCACAAACUUUGAGCUACAGAAACCAUUCUGGGCUUCAAAAAUUCAGCUCAUUGAAGAUAUUAUGGGGUGUUUUGAGGAUUGUGAUAAUAAAUUGUAUUAAUGUGUUCAGCAGAGGCCUUGUGUUCUCACAAGCUCCUUAUGAAUAUAUACAGAGGGUGAGCGUCAGGGCCUACUUGGAGUCCUGUUUCUUUAGCUUCAAGCCUUCUUUCUCCUGCUAUAGUUAUGCAUCCAAGGUCCCCA